AUUGAACGCUGGCGGCAUGCCUUACACAUGCAAGUCGAACGGCAGCGCGGGGCAACCUGGCGGCGAGUGGCGAACGGGUGAGUAAUAUAUCGGAACAUACCCUAGAGUGGGGGAUAACGUAGCGAAAGUUACGCUAAUACCGCAUACGCACUAAGGUGGAAAGUGGGGGAUCUUCGGACCUCAUGCUCAUGGAGUGGCCGAUAUCUGAUUAGCUAGUUGGUGAGGUAAAGGCUCACCAAGGCGACGAUCAGUAGCUGGUUUGAGAGAACGACCAGCCACACUGGAACUGAGACACGGUCCAGACUCCUACGGGAGCAGCAGUGAGGAAUUUUGGACAAUGGGGCAACCUGAUCCAGCAAUGCCGC
RNAcentral lists this ribosomal RNA (365 nucleotides) under uncultured bacterium. RNAcentral's name for it is "bacterial SSU rRNA". It matches the Rfam family "Bacterial small subunit ribosomal RNA", at positions 30 to 400 of the family's 1533-position model. The record is from RNAcentral.